This is a long non-coding RNA of Cyprinus carpio (common carp), 1761 nucleotides long. The record is from Ensembl. NCBI's taxonomy places the organism in Eukaryota, Metazoa, Chordata, Actinopteri, Cypriniformes, Cyprinidae.
GUCUAAGUUGAAAGUAAAAAUGCUGACAUGAUAAUCAAAGCCAAUCAUAUACUGUAUAAUGCAGGACCAGUAAAACUUCUAUGUGCCACAGAAAGUUACAGAAUAUGCAAAAUACGGUAUACUUCAUUCAUUGCUUGUGGUCGUGGCUGCUUAAUUGGACCAAAAUCUGGGCACUUUUGUUAAAAAUGGAUGAGACCUUUUACUUAUGUAUUUUUUUUAUUAUUAUUAUUAUUAUUUUUAAGUUGAGAUUAAAUAUAUUUUCAGUGUGGUUUAGACUUGUGGACCCCACUGUAAAAUAUUAAAAGUGUCUGAUAAUAUGAUAUUACUGAGAUAAAGUGAGUAGCGCUGUUUUUGGCUGGUCAUGUGAUUUGUCUGUCCAUGCUGGAAGAAAAAGUAUAUUGUGUCAUGAUGUGACACAAUCACAGCCAAUCAGAAUAUAUUUGAUGUAUUAUAUAUGUGGGGCAGAAUUUUGCACUAAGAAAUAUUUCUUCUUAGCUAAAUGCUACAGAAAGUGCUUGUGGUUGUGGCUGAUUAAUACUAAAAAAAAUCUCUUUUUUCUCUUUUUCCCCUCAUUUGCUCUCUGAAUUGGAUCGGUUCAAAUUGAACUGGUGGACAAAUAGGUCCCAAAGCUUCUCACAUGUGACCACAAGCUCGGGCAUGUCAGCUGCUUCUGCUCUCCUCUCUGGAUGACAGAUACAUCAGGUCUGGGUUCAGCUGCAGGGCCUCAGGAGAGUGAGAGGAAGCUGCUCUCAUCCUGGCCCAGCGUUGAGAAGUGUAGUGCAGGGAGAGUUUCCAGCUCCACUGGGAAGCGGCUGGUGGCUCUGCCCUGCGCUCUGGCCAUGCGAGAAGCUGUUGUCUCAGACCUCUUUGAACCUCUCAAACUGAAGCCCUCUAGAACACCUAAACAUUUUCCAUUGUCCGGUAACAUUUCCUUUGGUCUCUUCUCUGUGUCUGUUUCUUGUCUAGUCAGAGGAAGAUGGUAUAAGAGGAAUUCAGAAGGCCAAGGACAAGAUAAAAAAACGAACUCAGGCGAUAACGCUCAGACUACAAAUAGCCGGGACAAGAGCAUCGCUCACAGAUUUAUGAAGAGUCCAGAAAUGUGUCUCAUCAUUAUGGAGGAAGGGCCAGCCUGUGGGUUUGUGGGGCCUCAAGUCAGAUCAUCGAAAGAAUGGCCAUAACAUAAUAACAUCUAUAGAACCUCUGCAAUGUCUUUAACCAGUCCAACUCUUGGCAGGUGCAGAACACUAAAGGACCAUUUUAUUUCUAAAUUAGUCUGAAAGGCGCACCACAAAGACUGGAAAUGCUGCUGCCCUUUCAUUUUAAAUGGUACGUUGGCAUUUAACACUACACAUGUCAGCAGAACUUCACUCUCCGUUUAUGGCUUCUUAAUGUAUGUGUAUUUGUUCACUGCCACUUAUGAUAUUAGCUGUUGUCAUCUGCAGUGGAAAAGGACAUUGCAGAUAUGAAAAAGCAUUCUUGUGAUCAUAAAUGAAUUUGUAAACUACAUUCAUAAACUCCCACCUUUUUAUAUAGCCUCCUCCACUUUCCAGUAGCACAAAAUAAUCGACUUUUACACACAGAAAAAAAAAAAAACUUAUAUAGAAAAAACUAUAGCACAUUACUGUAAUUGUUUUUCAUUUCCCCUCUUCCUUUCCUUUAAUCUUUUUUUUUCUUUUACAAAAAGGUGACUGAUGUCACCUCUCUCCACUUGUCAAGUGUAAGAUGCUUUUAAAAUAAUAAAAAAAAAUGUAUAUUUAAUCA